RNAcentral lists this ribosomal RNA (468 nucleotides) under uncultured bacterium. RNAcentral's name for it is "partial 16S ribosomal RNA". It matches the Rfam family "Bacterial small subunit ribosomal RNA", at positions 28 to 507 of the family's 1533-position model. The record is from RNAcentral.
GAUGAACGCUGGCGGCGUGCUUAACACAUGCAAGUCGAGCGGAAAGGCCCUGCUUUUGUGGGGUGCUCGAGUGGCGAACGGGUGAGUAACACGUGAGUAACAUGCCCUUGACUUUGGGAUAACUUUUGGAAACUGGGGCUAAUACCGGAUAGGAGCUCCUGAUGCAUGGUGGGGGUUGGAAAGUUUCGGCGGUUGGGGAUGGACUCGAGGCUUAUCCGCUUGUUGGUGGGGUAGUGGCUUACCAAGGUUUUGACGGGUAGCCGGCCUGAGAGGGGGACCGGCCACAUGGGGCCUGAGAUACGGCGCAGUCUCCUACGGGACGCAGCAGUGGGGAAUAUUGCACAAUGGGCGGAAGCCUGAUGCAGCAACGCCGCGUGCGGGAUAACGGCCUUCUGGUUGUAAACCACUGUCGCCGGUGACGAAGCGUUAGUGACGGUAAUUGGUAAAAAAGCACCGGCUAACUACGUG